AUGGUUUUCGUAGCACCUCUUCGGCAGAUGUCAUCUGGGAGUGUUCCUGGCUCUUCUGGAGAGAGCAUGAUUUACUAUCUCCUUGCUGGUGUUGCUGCUUUUGGUGGUUUAUAUUACGCUUACAGAACAGUCAGUUCAUCCCGCAGCAAGUAUAUUGAACAUAUGAAUAUUCUUCAUGAAAGAGCUGAGGGGCGGAAAAACAAACCUCUUUCACACAAGGGUGAUGAAGAGGAGACAACUGAAGUCACUGAAGCAGAAGCAGCCACAGAAGCGACUGAUACAGUAACUGCUGCUGGACCUGCAGCACAGGAUGAGAGUUCUGAGGUAUCCUCAGAAACUGGAGGGGAGAGUGGCUUACCAGCUGCUGUGGAGGGAACACAGGAGGAAGCUGCUGCUAACUUGGAAGCUGCUGCUAAUUCAGAAGCUGCUGCAGUGCAAGAAACUGUGGGUGAAGGCUUGGAUGUUGCAGUUUCUUCUGCCCAUGAGGAAAACUUAGACAGUGUCAAAGAAGGAGUAGCCUCAGCAGCUCAAGAGAUGUCUGACGUGGCCUCAAGGAACCAGGAAGCUGAUGCUGAGGAGUCUGGGCAAACUUCAGAAGUUUCCACGGAAGAGACGACACCUGAAGAUGUUGCUAAGGAUUCCUAAAGUGAGCAGCAUUGAAGCCUUUGAAAAGUUUAAUGGAAAUAUUUGGGCAGUCAACCAGCGGAUUCCUGUGCGAAACCUCGUACUCUGCCUUGGAGACAUAAAACAAAUUGUGCAGUUUGUCAUACCACACACUGCUUAUUAGGAUGAGUAUUCAUUACUGAAACAGACAACCUAAUACGAUUUAAGUUGGUUAGAGAGAUGCUUCUGUAAUUAACCACUCUGUUUUAGAAAGGAGCAUGUAGUAAUAAAUGUCAAAGCACCAUCCA
RNAcentral lists this long non-coding RNA (911 nucleotides) under Struthio camelus australis. Its description in RNAcentral is "lncRNA (ENSSCUG00000016637.1)". The record is from RNAcentral. Lineage: Eukaryota; Metazoa; Chordata; Aves; Struthioniformes; Struthionidae.